UUUCUUGGGACUGAAAGAGGCCAGACAGAAAUCCAUCUUCUCCAAUUCAUCCUAAUUCAAGUCUUCAUUAUUGCAACCAGUAUAGAGGCCAGACAGAAAUCCAUCUUCUCCAAUGCAUCCUAAUCCAAGUCUCCAAUAUUGCUACCAAUAUAGGUAAUUCAUGAGCAAUCCUUGUCAACAUUACCAGCACAGUCAUAACCCUAUUCCACAAGAGAUUUCCAGAAGCAUACAUAGAGGAGUUCAUUGAAUAAUAACACCCUGAAAAAAUCCCGUGGCGUGGGAACAAGUGAAUGAGCUGUAAAAGAAGAAUGAGUGUUAGAGAGAGAUAAAGAAAGAAAUGGUGGGAAAGAGAGGAGGUGGGAGAGCAACAGGAACAAACUUUACAAAUUUACAUGAGCCUUCUGGCCUGAGUGCUCCUCUCCUUACCCCUUUCUGUCCCUGAAUAGAGCCAUUAGCUGACAUAAGGGCUGAGGAAGGAUGCUCUAGGAAACAUCUGAAGAAAUACUAUCCAAACGGCAGCAGAUUCUGCAAGAGAAAAGCUGCACUAUCUCUGCUGCUAAUCCUCUGUGUUGUUCUCAGACUCUCAUUCUCUGGAGUGGUGUGGUGCACAUGCUGUACCGUGCUAUUGGGGGGUGGGAGGGGGGAAGGUGAUUUCUAGAAAUCACCAGGUUUCCAGAUCACACAUUCCUCAGGAAAAAGUGAUCCAGCAGAGUUUAAGUAAUAGUCAAAAAGGACAGAAUUAUCUGGGCCAGGUUCAGUGACUUUAGAUAACAGGGACUUCUAAGAGGGGGCCGCUCUGCAUCCCACCAGUUUUAUCCACUUCAAUAUCCUCUCCGUGCCCUGAAAAUAACCAGCAGUCCUUUAUUCUCAGUCCUGUGUCUAGACAUAGUCUAUGCUGUACUGGCUACUGUAUUCAGCUUCACUCCCUUGUGGCCAGAGGUCACACCCGUCGUUGAGCAGAGGAGCAUGCUCAGCUGGAGGCAGCUUUCUUAACUGGGCCCUAGUGCCAUCAGCACCAGCCCAGGCAGCAAUGCCUCUCCCACAGCUAAGAUCAGGUCUGAGAUCCUCUCUAAAAACAAGAUUAAAAAGGACUUGCGGCCACUGGAUUUCAUGGGCCCAAAAGGCCAACUCUAGAUGGGUAUCAUGGAGGGGGUUGGAGAAGCCUGAAUAACCUGUGACCUUAAAGAAAAAUCAGUUACUAGCUUUUAACUAUAGUGUGUAGUUUGCCUCUGUCAUAAAAAUAAAGGGAAGGGUAACCACCUUUCUGUAUAAAGUGCUAUAAAAUCCCUCCUGGCCAAAGGCAGAACCCUUUCACCUGUAAAGGGUUAAGAAGCUAAGAUAACCUCGCUGGCACCUGACCAAAAUGACCAAUGAAGAGACAAGAUACUUUCAAAGCUGGGGGGGGGGGGGAGACAAAGGGUCUGUCUGUCUGGGUGAUGCUUUUGCCAGGAACAGAUCAGGAAUGCAGUCUCAGAACUUCUGUUAAUAAGUAAUCUAGCUAGAAAUGCAUUAGAUUUCCUUUUGUUUAAUGGCUGGUCAAAUAAGUUGUGCUGAAUGGAAUGUAUAUUCCUGUUUUUGUGUCUUUUUGUAACUUAAGGUUUUGCUUAGAGGGAUUCUCUAUGUUUUGAAUCUGAUUACCCUGAAGGUAUUUACCAUCCUGAUUUUUCAGAGGUGAUUCUUUUACCUUUUCUUUAAUUAAAAUUCUUCUUUUAAGAACCUGAUUGAUUUUUCAUUGUUCUUAAGAUCCAAGGGUUUGGGUCUGUGUUCAUCUGUACAAAUUGGUGAGGAUUUUCACCAAGCCUUCCACAGGAAAGGGGGUGUAGGGCUUGGGGGGAUAUUUUAGGGGAAGACGUCUGCAAGUGGUCUCUUUCCCUGUUCUUUGUUUAAGACGCUUGGUGGUGGCAGCAUAGGGUUCAAGGACAAGGCAAAGUUUGUACCUUGGGGAAGUUUU
Molecule: long non-coding RNA, 1951 nt
Organism: Caretta caretta (loggerhead turtle)
Lineage: Eukaryota; Metazoa; Chordata; Testudines; Cheloniidae
Source: RefSeq, a predicted model, not a curated record